UACGGGGGGGGCAAGCGUUGUUCGGAAUUACUGGGCGUAAAGGGCUCGUAGGCGGCCAACUAAGUCGGACGUGAAAUCCCUCGGCUUAACCGGGGAACUGCGUCCGAUACUGGAUGGCUUGAGUAUGGGAGAGGGAUGCGGAAUUCCAGGUGUAGCGGUGAAAUGCGUAGAUAUCUGGAGGAACACCGGUGGCGAAGGCGGCAUCCUGGACCAACAUUGACGCUGAGGAGCGAAAGCGUGGGGAGCGAUCCGG
RNAcentral lists this ribosomal RNA (253 nucleotides) under uncultured bacterium. Its description in RNAcentral is "partial 16S ribosomal RNA". It matches the Rfam family "Bacterial small subunit ribosomal RNA", at positions 524 to 776 of the family's 1533-position model. The record is from RNAcentral.